This 1116-nucleotide long non-coding RNA is filed under the name Bos grunniens (domestic yak). RNAcentral describes it as "lncRNA (ENSBGRG00000024505.1)". The record is from RNAcentral. Lineage: Eukaryota; Metazoa; Chordata; Mammalia; Artiodactyla; Bovidae.
GGCGAAUGUGGAGAAAAAGAGAGCAAGCCAGGCAGUCAGGCAGAGAAAGAUUUAUUACAGGAAGAGAGAAAGAAACUGACUGGGUUUAGAGAGAAACCAGCGCUCUCCUUUUACAGCCAACCCUUCUUAUACCCUAUUAAUGGGGAAUUGAGCCCUGGAGGAGGGGGGCCUCAGUUUAUCUUUAGCCUGCAGCUGGGGUCUUGUGGUCACAUAGUCGAAGGGGUCUCACGGUCGGGUGGUCACAUAGUCUUGAGAAACUGGCACCAGCAGAGAAAAACAGGAUAUCGCCUUAAAGAAGAAACAGGAUGCCCACCAGGGCCAGGUGGCCGCUGUGACUUCAUCCCUUGUUUGUCGGGUCGCCACAAUGGGCCACAUUUUAACUAUAGCUAUGAGCCCUCGUGAACCCUAACAGUACAGAACCCUCUCAGGAUCUGAACCUCUUUCACCAGGAAGCACCCAGUGGCGCUCAGCUGAGAAGCACAAGGAUACUCAACCUCCCUGGGACUAUCUGGGCCACCGUCGGAACCUCCCCACCCAGGAAGGCCCCGCCCCACGUGCGUCUCUAUGGUUACAGGCCCCGCCCCCCAUCAGAAGGCUGGAUUCCAGGCAGCCUUGGAUCAUUGACUCGGGCUAGAAUUCUCCCUACUGCAAGGGGGGAACCUCAUUGUGGUUGCCACAUGUACCCCUUUUAUUUACACUAUUAUUUUGAGAGUUUAAUGAGAUCAUGGAUAUAUAUAAAAUCUAUAGUGUUAAGAAGUACUCUGUAAAAAGUUACAAGUGGUAUUAGUUCUGAAGUUAUCCUUACUGACCUCUGCUCUUCCUCAAAUUCGCGUAUCUGAGUGUCUGAUAACACACAGCUCCUUUCCUAGCUCAGAAUCCAGGAUGGAGGUCCCUCUCUGACCCUGCUUUGCAAACAAGGGUGAGUGAAAAACCAGAAAGGCCGAGAAAAAGGCGUCCCGUUCUUACGGCCUUCUCGUCAGCGACAGGGUCCACUGUGAAAUGGGCGCCCCCUAUUCCAAAGUGAGACCAGGGCCCAAGGGCCGAGGGUGCCCUCCGCCUAGCGCUAGGGCUUCAAAAACCAGACGAGAAAGAGGAUCCGAGAGAGCAGGAAUUCAC